Molecule: ribosomal RNA, 1308 nt
Filed under: Triticum aestivum (bread wheat)
Lineage: Eukaryota; Viridiplantae; Streptophyta; Magnoliopsida; Poales; Poaceae
Description: partial small subunit ribosomal RNA
Source: RNAcentral
AUGCAAAUUCUUGUCUGGAUGAGGAGCUUAUUAAUUAUAUCGAGUGAUAUAGUCUAUGCACCAGCUCAUGCUGUGAUUGGGGAUUUGUGCUGUGAGCUUCAGAGCAAGGAAAUUCUAGUACAAAGAAUAUAUUGUCAUCUGAUUGCGGAAGUAUGUUUGGAAGCACUGAGGUUUUCAUGGCUGCCACUUCAAGGUAAUAUCUGUAGCCCACUCGCAAAUUUUCUACUGAAGAAAUCAAUUGGCAUAUCUCUGCAAUCCUAUUGGGAAGGUACAAAUUCUUUUGCGGUGAUGUUGACACCAAGUCUGCAAAUGUACGAGCAUAAGAACAAAUUCAGUUUACUGGAGCAUGAUAUAUCAGUGGUUCUCCGUGUUGCUCAUGGUAGUAUUGUAAUUCAGUGCAUCCUUGUGCAUCAGAAGAUGCCCAAUUGCAGUUUCGGAAACACAUAUAGAACAAAGAAUUACAUCGGAAUAGUUGCAUAUGCGGACUCCCAAUGGGCAACUACAUGGUUCUUUUCCUUGGUGUGUGUGGCUGUAUAUAAGAGGUUCCAUGGCAUGUAUUGUUCCGUUGCACGACAUGACAUCACCACUUCCAACAGUGCAUCAUUCUUCUUAAGGGGGCCUCCUUAUUGUUUAUGUCUUGGAGGAGAUAUGCUAUAUAGUAGCAUUAUCAGUGCACAUAUGGCAUCUGCUUCGCUGGCCAGAAAAGGGUUAGGCAGAGAUGCUCAUUUCUUGUUCCUUGGGUCCUCUUGCUCUGAUUCAGUCCUGUUGAUCUUUGAAACAUUCGACUGGCGAAUUGCCUGGCCACCCCCCUCUAGAGGUCAUGUUCUUGUCUCCAGCUAUAUCAACUGCUUCAGUUUCUUCCAAGUUUACUUGGUUGUGGAUCGCUUCUCGUUGAACUUGUUGGUUUUGUGUGUGGCUGAGCUCUUCACCUAUAAUUCUGAAAUUUCCCAAUGGAUAAUAGCUUGGUUUCUCAAGUUGGGGCAUUCUGCCAGUGCUAUCAUGUUGAAGCAAGCAUUCUCUCAGUCACUGGAAUUAUGGCAUAUUACUGUUCUUGGUAGUACUUUGAAGACAAGUACAAUUACUCGUCCUCUAGUCUUGCUUCAUUGGGAUCCAGGUGUGGGCUUCAUAAAUGACAGUUGGCUAUGCUGGAAAUGUUUCUCCUUGAAAGACAAUUUCAGCUGGCCUCAGUUUGUUACAAGAAAUUUGUUUGUAACCUCACAAUGGAACCAUGGUCUGCUCAGCUUGAUCACUCUUGCAGGGUGGGAGUUCACAAGUAGAUACAUGUCGAUUACCUACAGGGGAAAAUAG